ACACGCAUGACACACUGCAUAUCAAUAAGCGGAGGAAAAGAAACUAACAAGGAUUCCCUUAGUAACGGCGAGUGAAGCGGGAAGAGCUCAAAUUUGAAAUCUUCAAGGUUUUACCUUGACGAAUUGUAGUUUAAAGAAGUGUUUUCUGUUGAAGUUUCGGUGAAAGUUCUUUGGAAUAGGACAUCAUAGAGGGUGAGAAUCCCGUAUUUGACCAGUUAUUUUCAGCUGUGUGAUACACUUUCAAAGAGUCGGAUUGUUUGGGAAUGCAGUCCAAAAUGGGUGGUAAAUUUCAUCUAAAGCUAAAUAUUGGCGAGAGACCGAUAGCGAACAAGUACCGUGAGGGAAAGAUGAAAAGAACUUUGAAAAGAGAGUUAAACAGUACGUGAAAUUGUCAAAAGGGAAGCGUUUGACACCAGUGUUGUUUUCUCGAAAAUCAAUUAAAAAUGGCCUGAUUUUGUGUUGUAUUGACCUUAAAAGCUUUCUUCACUCUUUUCAUUGUCUUUUUUAAUGCACUUUUCGUUUAACAAGUCAACAUCAGUUUCUUUUGUUGUAAAAGGGUCAUUGGAAGGUGGCUUUCUUUUCGGAGAAAGUGUUUAUAGCCUUUGAUCUCUGCAAUCCGGAGAGACUGAGGUCUGCAGCGUAGACUCUUCUGGAUUAGAUACAUUUGUGCUAAGCUAUAGCUUUUCAUAGACAACUUGUUGACUAUAGUUUAGUCUUGUAGCUUACUCGCUUAUGCUAUUUUACCUACGCUUAGGAUGUUGAGCGCAUGUCUCUCUCU
This 778-nucleotide ribosomal RNA is filed under the name uncultured Neocallimastigales. Its description in RNAcentral is "partial large subunit ribosomal RNA". It matches the Rfam family "Eukaryotic large subunit ribosomal RNA", at positions 23 to 616 of the family's 3401-position model. Lineage: Eukaryota; Fungi; Neocallimastigomycota; Neocallimastigomycetes; Neocallimastigales. The record is from RNAcentral.